This 575-nucleotide ribosomal RNA is filed under the name uncultured bacterium. RNAcentral describes it as "bacterial SSU rRNA". It matches the Rfam family "Bacterial small subunit ribosomal RNA", at positions 102 to 674 of the family's 1533-position model. The record is from RNAcentral.
ACGGGUGAGUAAUGUCUGGGAAACUGCCUGAUGGAGGGGGAUAACUACUGGAAACGGUAGCUAAUACCGCAUAACGUCGCAAGACCAAAGAGGGGGACCUUCGGGCCUCUUGCCAUCAGAUGUGCCCAGAUGGGAUUAGCUAGUAGGUGGGGUAACGGCUCACCUAGGCGACGAUCCCUAGCUGGUCUGAGAGGAUGACCAGCCACACUGGAACUGAGACACGGUCAGACUCCUACGGGAGGCAGCAGUGGGGAAUAUUGCACAAUGGGCGCAAGCCUGAUGCAGCCAUGCCGCGUGUAUGAAGAAGGCCUUCGGGUUGUAAAGUACUUUCAGCGGGGAGGAAGGCGGUGAGGUUAAUAACCUCAUCGAUUGACGUUACCCGCAGAAGAAGCACCGGCUAACUCCGUGCCAGCAGCCGCGGUAAUACGGAGGGUGCAAGCGUUAAUCGGAAUUACUGGCCGUAAAGCGCACGCAGGCGGUCUGUCAAGUCGGAUGUGAAAUCCCCGGGCUCAACCUGGGAACUGCAUUCGAAACUGGCAGGCUAGAGUCUUGUAGAGGGGGGUAGAAUUCCAGGU